Molecule: long non-coding RNA, 683 nt
Organism: Culex pipiens pallens (northern house mosquito)
Lineage: Eukaryota; Metazoa; Arthropoda; Insecta; Diptera; Culicidae
Exons: 2
Source: RefSeq, a predicted model, not a curated record
CACACUCAGAAUGAAGAUUCGACUUCGGCAGAAAUAUCUGCCGAACGUGCUCGGCAAAGUGAUAUUCUGCCGAAAUCUCGGCAGCAAAUUCAUUGUUCCAAUAUUCUCGGUUAAAUUUAACCGAUAGUUCGGCAGAUCUAAGCAAAAUGCCGAAGUUUGUCAGUUAAAUUUAACGAAAAUCUCGGCAUGUCCAAAAUCUACCGAGUUCGGCAAUUCAACUGUCAAAUUUGCUAGAAAGUGCCGAGCUGUUCGGUUAGAUGUUGAGGUAGCCAUAUUUGUUUUCGAUAUGAGUAGUGCUCACUGAACUAAGUUCCGGAACUUUGGAUAAAUCGGGAUUUAUACUUGAAUUUCUACAGGAUUUCUGCUUGGAUUUCUACUUGAAAGCUUUUACCAAGGAAAUGCAUGACGAUGGUGCUUGGUAGAAGUAUAGGAUUCAUUCUGGUUCAGAUUGUAUUAGAUUAUACAUAAAAAGAGCAAUAAAUAUAAAAAAGCAUGCAUGCAUAUUGUUUUAAAGCUUUAAAUUAAUUGCGAGAAUCUCGAUUUGGUUUUAUUAUGAUAAAUGCCGAGAUUUUCGGUUGAAUUCGUUUCAGGGAUGCCGAGAUUUUCGGCACAAAAAAGCUGGCUGUCAAAAUUAUUUUUGCCGAGACUUCGGCAGAUGAAUUUUCUGCCGAACUCUCUGCCGA